UUACCUACGGGACGCAGCAGUGGGGAAUAUUGCACAAUGGGGGAAACCCUGAUGCAGCGACGCCGCGUGAAGGAUGAAGUAUUUCGGUAUGUAAACUUCUAUCAGCAGGGAAGAAAAUGACGGUACCUGACUAAGAAGCCCCGGCUAACUACGUGCCAGCAGCCGCGGUAAUACGUAGGGGGCAAGCGUUAUCCGGAUUUACUGGGUGUAAAGGGGGCGCAGACGGCAGCGCAAGCCAGGAGUGAAAGCCCGGGGCCCAACCCCGGGACUGCUCUUGGAACUGCGCGGCUGGAGUGCAGGAGGGG
RNAcentral lists this ribosomal RNA (305 nucleotides) under uncultured bacterium. RNAcentral describes it as "bacterial SSU rRNA". It matches the Rfam family "Bacterial small subunit ribosomal RNA", at positions 335 to 657 of the family's 1533-position model. The record is from RNAcentral.